RNAcentral lists this long non-coding RNA (860 nucleotides) under Monodelphis domestica (gray short-tailed opossum). Its description in RNAcentral is "lncRNA (ENSMODG00000039358.1)". Lineage: Eukaryota; Metazoa; Chordata; Mammalia; Didelphimorphia; Didelphidae. The record is from RNAcentral.
UCUCUGUACUGUCCUUUACUCUUAAGUAACUUAUUCCUUUGUCCUACUGCUCCUCUUAACAUUCCAAACCUAGUCUCUGAUUUAUUCCCAUCACCAUGACUUUUUUUGCACCUGCUCAUAUUCUCUUUAAUGGAGCUGGAGGAGAUUGCAUAAAUAUAAAGGCUGGGUCUACUACAGAUUUGUUGUCCCAUCUCUAAUGGGCUCUUACAGCACCAAGGUAACCUUUGUACUCCUCCCUUACUGAUUAUCUCACUCACCAGAGUGGCUGUUCCAGAUUGUUUGCCAAAUCUCCCAGGGCACACCCUCAUCUGCCCUCUCAGCUAAAGAUCUCAUCUCAAAAUCUUUGGAGAAAGCACAGGAUAUCCACUUGAUAUUCCCUCUUCUCUCUUCUUCCUCACCCCUGGAAAAAUAUCCUCCUGCUCCAGCCCCCUGGCCCACUGGCCCCCAACCCUGGUAGCCAACCCCUGUUGAUGAUCCUUCUGGACUGCUGAUUGCUGCUACCAAGAAGCUUGAAGUCCUUGGAGCUUCUCCUCAGGGCAGAUGGAAACUCAACUUAUGGAAUGAUCAAAAUGGAGGUGAAUACUAUUUUUACUUGUCUAACAAGAGACAUCGGAUACAGUAACAUCAAAAACAGAAUACUAUCUACCACAUUCAAUUGACACUUUGUGGACAGGACAAUAAUGACUCACCAGAUCAGAGAAAGAACAUUGCUAUCCUAUCCUGGACAGAGGGUAGCUUUAAUGGAGAAAUUGGGGCUAUUUUGAGCUUUGCAGAUUUGUUUGAGGCCGAUGUCCAAGUCCCAAAUCAGAGAACAGAUUCAGAGCGACUGUUAUUCGUUUGUGAAAUCAGGUUACAAGAUG